RNAcentral lists this transfer RNA (69 nucleotides) under Ictidomys tridecemlineatus (thirteen-lined ground squirrel). Its description in RNAcentral is "Spermophilus tridecemlineatus (thirteen-lined ground squirrel) tRNA". It matches the Rfam family "tRNA". Rfam says of the family: Transfer RNA (tRNA) molecules are approximately 80 nucleotides in length. Their secondary structure includes four short double-helical elements and three loops (D, anti-codon, and T loops). Lineage: Eukaryota; Metazoa; Chordata; Mammalia; Rodentia; Sciuridae. The record is from Rfam by way of RNAcentral.
GGGACUAUGGCUUAAUGGUAGGGCACUUUCCUGGCAUGCAAGAGGCACUAGGUUCAAUUCUUAGUACCA